Long non-coding RNA from Astatotilapia calliptera (eastern happy), 3171 nucleotides. Lineage: Eukaryota; Metazoa; Chordata; Actinopteri; Cichliformes; Cichlidae. The record is from Ensembl.
UGAUUGUACAGAGACACAAUGUCAGUGUCCAAAUAGGACCAAACUGUAAUAGUUAGCUAAGCCCACACAGUGAGCUCUGUGCAAGGAGGCAAAAAUCAAUAACCUUCAGGGGCUACAAAUAUUAAUCUGUUUGAGUACCAUGUUUCAUUUUGUAUUCUUCUAUACCAGCUUUUUGGUUGCAGUGUGGCUUUUAGACAGAGCAAGCACUUCCAUAACUCCAAAGCUUCAGAAAGGCUCAAAACUGUAGGGCAGGUGUUAUGUAGCCCACUAAACACUAGAGGGAGAUAUUAUAAAAGGUACCAAUUUCAGCACUGGGUGAAAUCACAGUAGCUGCGUUCUGUACAGAUAUCCAGAUCUUUUGUUCACGUAUGCAUUGCUACUCAAAGAAAAACACAAAUUGCCCAUUUGUUCCAGAUAUGUCAAGGUUUCAUUUUGUUUUUCCAAAGAGGUGCGUUUGUACAGAUGUCAAAUACAUACACCAACAGGGUUUCUCCAUUGCUAUAGAGGAAAUGGGGUGGUGAGACACAGGGACUUGGUGAGUACAAUAUAGUACAAACAAGUUGGCUGGGAACUGCUGUGGCCCCCCCUGUAGGCCAGACUGUCCAUGCAGGUCUGCGCUGAUGUCCAGUUCUCCGCCACCAUCUCACAGGCCAGUAAGUCUCACUUUAGUACGUGGUGACGCAGGUUAACUGAGAAACAUCUUGACAGACAGGUUGCUAGCCUCAGGGCUGAGUGUUCAGAUCACAGGAAGGACACAGCUGACAGAUCAACUCCACCCUCUCCCUGGCAGUGGGCAGGGUCAGAGGUCAAGAACCACACAGCCUGUCCUGAAGUGUUUUUAUCGCCUUCCACAGAGAGGCCGCCCAGAGAUGAUCAGUACACUAAAGAGUAAUCCAAGCCAUCUCCAGCAUAAUACACAUAAUAUCAUAAUAAUUUAUAGUUAAUUUCCAAUAAGAACAUUUGUUAAUCAAAUCAAUUCAAAUAUCAAAUUAUAGGUAAUAAAUUUACAUAUCUUAUAACCCAUAUCAAAAAGCCCACUAUGCAAAUUGACUGGUGUGAAACUAACUGUUAAGUGGGCCUCUACACUUUUUUUUUUUCUUCUUUCUGCCUGAGUUGGUUAUCCAGCGCUAUGGACAUCGACAAGACAUCAUACAAAAAAAAAGAAAAGAAAAAUAAAUUCAUGAAAAAAGUGGAAUCCUGAUCGAAUUCUGUUCACUUUUAAAACACAACAAAAGUGCCAAAAAACACAUUUUUGUUUACGCAAAAUGAAAGUACAAACAUUAAGAAACAAAGAGCACACAUGCCUUUUUUCUGAUCAAAAAAAGUCAAAGCUCACUCACCAACAUUCAUUUUAUUUGUCAAGUUGUGCAAGAAGCCAAUUAAAAAAAAAAAAAAAAAAUGACAUUAGCACUGUUCCUCCAGUGAGGACGCUUGUCUUGAAAAACUCAACAAUGACACAUUCUCUACAUAGUUUUAAGUCCCCUGACAUUAUACUGAGUGCUACAAGGAGACCAAAAACAAAACAACAACAACAAAAAGCUCCUGCACCAAAGAUAAUGCAAACAAAGCAAAGGUUUGCACGCGCUCUUUCCGCACCGCACAACCGAACCAAGCCGUGAACAUCAAGAAACCGAAUUUAUCCGUUCAGGCAGGUUGGCGGUGUGCGCUGGAAAAGAUGAACGCAACGAAAGAGGGGACGCUUUCCAUGAGAAAGGGGUUUUCCUAGUAGAAAAGAACCAAGGAAUCACCUAACACCUCGGCCCGUUGGACCCAAGAACGCGCCGGGCGCCAAGCGAGAUGGAGCACAGACAGAUAAAACACAAGGUUACGGCAAGGUGAUGUGCAAACUUGAGCCAUCUCUCCCCCUCUCUCUUUUUAUUCAUCAAUAGUCACCCCGUUUAGUUUUUGUUUGUUUGUUUUCUCAUUCUCUCUGUCUGUUUUGAAUGAAUGUUACCCCUGGGACAGGCGUCGGCCUGAAAGAGAGGGGUUAGACCGAGCCCCGUCCCAGGAUUAGAAAGUGCUGAAACAUUAUCAAGUCUUUUUACAUCUACAUACAUGUGCAUCUCUUUCGGUUGGUUUAGAAUCUUUUUUUUUUCCUUUUUCUUUUUUUUUCUCUUUUUUUUCUACAAAAAAAAAAAAGUGGUCCCCACUAGCGAUGAGGUUUCUUUUUCCUGUGGGUCUCACCGUGAACCGUCGAGGGUCAGGGUUUAUGAUCUCACAGACUAUUAGAGGAGAAAACACUCCCCCCCCCACACACACACACACACACACAAACACUCACACACAUUUGAACACCAGGUGUACAUAAGCAUACAUCCUACACGCACGACGACACACGGUGCAGACUCACAACUGAGGAAGGCCGCGAGGACGAAAGGGAAGGAGAGGAAAGAGAGGAAAAACAGGAAAAACGCUUUGCUGUUUCUCCUCACAAACAUCCUGACUCAGAUGUGACACACACGUCAACAGAUAUUUAAAAGAAAUACACGAGCCUUUAACGAGGAUCAGACACUGGAGUCGAACUUUUGCUACAUACACUUGGCACAGUAAAGAGGGGGAAAACAAAAUCAAAGUAUUGCACAUUGUGGUACAUUUCAAUGGGAUUUAAGAAAGACUUGGGAAAUGAUAACUACACUAGACCCUCGGAAAAAAAAAAAAAAAAAACCUUGCUGAUUGAUUUAUGUUAUCAUCUAUAGUAAAAUAUAAACUCAGUGGCCUUUUUAAGCUGACUGUGAACAGGAGACCGAAUAUGAAAAGAUGAUGUAAUUGGGAGGGCAGACCUCCUAUAUCCGCAUCAGGCCACACUGAAAGGUAGCGAACGGUUGUCGUUAAGGGUUAAACAGAUUGCUUUGCCUCAGAAGGAGGUGCUCGUGAGGCUGGCUGGCUAUGAUUGGGUACCUGAAACAAAGUUAAAGAGGUCACUACGGGAGUCGUGGCAAAGAGGCAGAGCUUGGCGGAGUCAAAAAAACGAAGAGGAAAAAAAGAAGUCUGCUGGUUGGCUUCGUGCCACACCGAGUCGGUUCGCCUUCAGCGUUGACAGUGUAACAGCAGUGUUUGUGACUGACCAGCAGGGACAGAGGAGGUUUCAGGGGUUGUGUUGGGUUACUGCAUAUAUGAGAAACUUCCCUGAAAGAUCAGCAACUGGUGUUGCAACUGCAAUUUCUGAGGAUU